CAGGUGGUCAGGUAGAGAAUACCAAGGCGAUCGAGAGAAUCGUGGUUAAGGAACUCGGCAAAAUGCCCCCGUAACUUCGGGAGAAGGGGGGCCUGAGGCGUGAACCCACUUGCUGGGGAAGCGUUCGAAGGCCGCAGAGACCAGGGAGAAGCGACUGUUUACUAAAAACACAGGUCCGUGCGAAGUCGCAAGACGAUGUAUACGGACUGACGCCUGCCCGGUGCUGGAAGGUUAAGAGGACGGGUCAGCCCUUCGGGGCGAAGCUCAGAAUUUAAGCCCCAGUAAACGGCGGUGGUAACUAUAACCAUCCUAAGGUAGCGAAAUUCCUUGUCGGGUAAGUUCCGACCUGCACGAAUGGCGUAACGACUUCUCCGCUGUCUCAACCGCGAACUCGGCGAAAUUGCACUACGAGUAAAGAUGCUCGUUACGCGCAGCAGGACGGAAAGACCCCGGGACCUUUACUAUAGCUUGGUAUUGGUGUUCGGUACGGCUUGUGUAGGAUAGGUGGGAGACUGUGAAGCCGGCACGCCAGUGUCGGUGGAGUCAACGUUGAAAUACCACUCUGGUCGUUCUGGAUGUCUAACCUCGGUCCGUAAUCCGGAUCAGGGACAGUGCCUGGUGGGUAGUUUAACUGGGGCGGUUGCCUCCUAAAAUGUAACGGAGGCGCUCAAAGGUUCCCUCAGCCUGGUUGGCAAUCAGGUGGCGAGUGCAAGUGCACAAGGGAGCUUGACUGUGAGACUGACAGGUCAAGCAGGGACGAAAGUCGGAACUAGUGAUCCGGCGGUGGCUUGUGGAAGCGCCGUCGCUCAACGGAUAAAAGGUACCCCGGGGAUAACAGGCUGAUCUUGCCCAAGAGUCCAUAUCGACGGCAUGGUUUGGCACCUCGAUGUCGGCUCGUCGCAUCCUGGGGCUGGAGUAGGUCCCAAGGGUUGGGCUGUUCGCCCAUUAAAGCGGUACGCGAGCUGGGUUUAGAACGUCGUGAGACAGUUCGGUCCCUAUCCGCUGCGCGCGCAGGAAACUUGAGAAGGGCUGUCCCUAGUACGAGAGGACCGGGACGGACGAACCUCUGGUGUGCCAGUUGUUCCGCCAGGAGCACGGCUGGUUGGCUACGUUCGGAAGGGAUAACCGCUGAAAGCAUCUAAGCGGGAAGCCUGCUUCAAGAUGAGGUUUCCACGGGGCUUGCCCCGAGAGGCUCCCAGCUAGACCACUGGGUGAAUAGGCCGGAUGUGGAAGAGAGGACUAAAGACUCUCGUAGCUGACCGGUACUAAUAAGCCGAUAACUUGACACA
Ribosomal RNA from Actinotalea ferrariae CF5-4, 1289 nucleotides. It matches the Rfam family "Bacterial large subunit ribosomal RNA", at positions 1660 to 2925 of the family's 2925-position model. The record is from Rfam. Lineage: Bacteria; Bacillati; Actinomycetota; Actinomycetes; Micrococcales; Cellulomonadaceae.